Molecule: ribosomal RNA, 253 nt
Filed under: uncultured bacterium
Lineage: Bacteria
Description: partial 16S ribosomal RNA
Rfam family: Bacterial small subunit ribosomal RNA
Source: RNAcentral
UACGGGGGGGGCAAGCGUUGUUCGGAAUUACAGGGCGUAAAGGGUUUGUAGGUGGCUCGCUAAGUCAGACGUGAAAUCCCUCAGCUUAACUGGGGAACUGCGUCUGAGACUGGCAAGCUUGAGUGCAGGAGAGGAACGCGGAAUUCCAGGUGUAGCGGUGAAAUGCGUAGAUAUCUGGAGGAACACCGGUGGCGAAGGCGGCGUUCUGGACUGUAACUGACACUGAGGAACGAAAGCCAGGGGAGCAAACGGG